This 459-nucleotide ribosomal RNA is filed under the name uncultured bacterium. RNAcentral's name for it is "partial 16S ribosomal RNA". It matches the Rfam family "Bacterial small subunit ribosomal RNA", at positions 338 to 795 of the family's 1533-position model. The record is from RNAcentral.
CCUACGGGGGGCUGCAGUGAGGAAUAUUGGUCAAUGGCCGGAAGGCUGAACCAGCCAAGCCGCGUGAGGGAGGAAGGCGCAGAGCGUCGCAGACCUCUUUUGCCGGGGGACAAAAGGCCGGACUCGUCCGUUCCUGAGGGUACCCGGAGAAAAAGCAUCGGCUAACUCCGUGCCAGCAGCCGCGGUAAUACGGAGGAUGCGAGCGUUAUCCGGAUUCAUUGGGUUUCAAGGGUGCGCAGGCGGGCUUUUAAGCCGGCGGUAAAAUCGCGGGGCUCAACCCCGCCGAGCCGGGGAAACUGGGGGCCUUGAGUGCGGCGGGGGCAUGCGGAAUGCGGGGUGUAGCGGUGAAAUGCAUAGAUAUCGCGCAGAACCCCGAUUGCGAAGGCAGCGUGCCGUGCCGCCAUUGACGCUGAGGCACGAAAGCGCGGGGAUCGAACAGGAUUAGAUACCCGAGUAGUC